This 458-nucleotide ribosomal RNA is filed under the name uncultured bacterium. RNAcentral describes it as "partial 16S ribosomal RNA". It matches the Rfam family "Bacterial small subunit ribosomal RNA", at positions 338 to 795 of the family's 1533-position model. The record is from RNAcentral.
CCUACGGGCGACAGCAGUGAGGAAUAUUGGUCAAUGGGCGAGAGCCUGAACCAGCCAAGUCGCGUGAGGGAGUACUGCCCUAUGGGUUGUAAACCUCUUUUGUCGGGGAGCAAAAGCCGGACGUGUCCGGCUGUGAGAGUACCCGAAGAAAAAGCAUCGGCUAACUCCGUGCCAGCAGCCGCGGUAAUACGGAGGAUGCGAGUGGUAUCCGGAUUUAUUGGGGUUAAAGGGUGCGCAGGCGGAUUUUUAAGUCAGCGGUCAAAUCGUGGGGCUCAACCCCAUCCAGCCGUUGAAACUGGGGAUCUAGAGUGUGCGAGAGGUAUGCGGAAUGCGUGGUGUAGCGGUGAAAUGCAUAGAUAUCACGCAGAACCCCGAUUGCGAAGGCAGCAUACCGGUGCACAACUGACGCUCAGGCACGAAAGCGUGGGUAUCGAACAGGAUUAGAUACCCCGGUAGUC